This 676-nucleotide ribosomal RNA is filed under the name Arthroleptis kidogo. RNAcentral's name for it is "partial 16S ribosomal RNA". The stretch from base 1 to 478 matches the Rfam family "Bacterial small subunit ribosomal RNA", at positions 854 to 1533 of the family's 1533-position model. Lineage: Eukaryota; Metazoa; Chordata; Amphibia; Anura; Arthroleptidae. The record is from RNAcentral.
CACCCAUAAUCGCCAGAGAAAUACAAAUAACCAUUUGAAAUUCAAAGGAUUUGACGGCAUUUCAUCCAUCUAGAGGAGUCUGUUCUAUAAUCGAUAUUCCCCGAUAUACCUGACCACUUUUUGUCAGUCAGUCUGUAUACCUCCGUCGUAAGCUUACCAUAUGAAUGUUAAUUAGUGAGCUAAAAGAUCACUACAUCCGUACGUCAGGUCAAGGUGCAACCUAUAAAGUGGAUAGAAAUGGGCUACAGUUUUUAAUUUAAAAUAUACGGAUUAUCAUAUGAAAAAUGAUAUGAAGGUGGAUUUAGAAGUAAGAGGAAAAUAAAGUGUUUCUCUUAAUUUGGCUAUGAAAUGUGUACACACCGCCCGUCACCCUCUUCAAUAAAUAAACGAGUGCUUAUAGCAAUAUAUAUAAAAUCAGAGAAGAGGCAAGUCGUAACAUGGUAAGCAUACUGGAAAGUGUGCUUGGAAUAACAAAAUAUAGCUUAAUUUAAAGCAUUUCGUUUACAUCGAAUUUAUACUUGUUUAAUUCAGGUUAUUUUGAGCUUAAGACUUCGCCUGUUAAUUGUUUUCUUUUGUAAAUUUACAAAAACAUUUAAUCAAUUUAGUAAAGGUGAUUAAAAAAUUAAUUAGAGCUAUAUAUAAAGUACCGCGAGGGAAAAGUGAAAUAAAAGUGAAA